Molecule: long non-coding RNA, 340 nt
Filed under: Elaeis guineensis (African oil palm)
Lineage: Eukaryota; Viridiplantae; Streptophyta; Magnoliopsida; Arecales; Arecaceae
Description: long non-coding RNA (EGUI_LNC038450)
Source: RNAcentral
GCUAUCCAAUAUCUCAAAAGUUUUAGAUAUUAAUUAUUACCUAAAUUGAUUUAAAGAAGAAAUUUGGAUGUUACUUUGCUGAUUAUUCUAACAAUUUGAUAUCUAAUCAAGUUCAAUCUAAGCUAAUCUAUGGCCUCAGUGAGAUUGCAGCAAAAAAGAGAGGGGUCACUCAAGGGUGACAAUGGUAAGAGUAGAAGCAAAAGAAAAGGAAAAAAGGAUGGGGGUGAGAGAUUAAGAGAUGAGAGAGGAGAAGAAGGGAGAGAGUAAAAGGUGGUGCGAAGAGCCAUUGUCUCUUGCACCAAUUCCUAUAUUUUUUUCUAUUCCAUGGAAAGAGUGGGGG